Molecule: ribosomal RNA, 915 nt
Filed under: uncultured marine bacterium
Lineage: Bacteria
Description: bacterial SSU rRNA
Rfam family: Bacterial small subunit ribosomal RNA
Source: RNAcentral
AGAGUUUGAUCCUGGCUCAGGAUGAACGCUAGCGGCAAGCUAACACAUGCAAGUCGAACGGUAACUUUUGGUGCUUGCACCGAAAGACGAGUGGCGAACGGGUGCGUAACGCGUAUGCAAUCUGCCUUUUACUAGGGUAUAGCCCAGAGAAAUUUGGAUUAAUCCCCUAUAAUAUCAUUUAAUCGCAUGAUUUUAUGAUUAAAGCUUCGGCGGUAAAAGAUGAGCAUGCGUCCUAUUAGUUAGUAGGUGAGGUAACGGCUCACCUAGACUCCGAUAGGUAGGGGUCCUGAGAGGGAGAUCCCCCACACUGGUACUGAGACACGGACCAGACUCCUACGGGAGGCAGCAGUGAGGAAUAUUGGACAAUGGACGAAAGUCUGAUCCAGCUAUGCCGCGUGCAGGAUGACGGCCCUAUGGGUUGUAAACUGCUUUUAUACAGGAAGAAAAACUCCGACGUGUCGGAACUUGACGGUACUGUAAGAAUAAGGAUCGGCUAACUCCGUGCCAGCAGCCGCGGUAAUACGGAGGAUCCAAGCGUUAUCCGGAAUCAUUGGGUUUAAAGGGUCCGUAGGCGGUUUUUUAAGUCAGAGGUGAAAUCCUGCAGCUCAACUGUAGAAUUGCCUUUGAUACUGAAAGACUUGAGUUAUUGUGAAGUGGUUAGAAUGUGUGGUGUAGCGGUGAAAUGCAUAGAUAUCACACAGAAUACCAAUUGCGAAGGCAGAUCACUAACAAUAUACUGACGCUCAGGGACGAAAGCGUGGGUAGCGAACAGGAUUAGAUACCCUGGUAGUCCACGCCGUAAACGAUGGAUACUAGCUGUAUGUCUACUUCAGGUAGAUGUGUGGCUAAGCGAAAGUGAUAAGUAUCCCACCUGGGGAGUACGAUCGCAAGAUUGAAACUUAAAGGAAUUGACGG